RNAcentral lists this long non-coding RNA (7835 nucleotides) under Triticum aestivum (bread wheat). Its description in RNAcentral is "long non-coding RNA (TAES_LNC004276)". Lineage: Eukaryota; Viridiplantae; Streptophyta; Magnoliopsida; Poales; Poaceae. The record is from RNAcentral.
AGAGAUGUUAGCAUCCGUAUCGAGUCAAUCGAAGGACCUACCAGCAGUGCCACCUGCAUCAGCUGAGGAGGAGAAUCAGAGAGUAGUGCAACCUAUCAUAUCAUCUGCUUCUGAUAAAUCAAAAGGGCACUGCAUCAGCCCUGAUAAGGAAUGCGAGAAUGGGGAAAACACUAAUGAGGCUAAUUCUAAUAUUGAAGACUCUCCAAUGGAUGUGGCUGCAACCCCCAUAUCUCCUGAUGCUGUUGCUAAUGACACGAGUCGACAAAAUGGCUUUGGAUCUGAUGCUCAUCUUGAUGAAAUCGGUAAGAUUGCAACUUAUAAGAUAAGGCCAGUUCUGAGGAUGAUUGCAGGGUCAACUGUAUCAGAGUUCGAUUUGACUGGUGAUCUUUUUAAAGCUCUUGAAGAUCAGAGGGAUCUCAUCAGGGAUCUUAACACGUCAGCCAGCUUACCUCCGAGCAGAUGCCAAGCCUUUAAGGACGCGAUGAAACAAGGAAUUAUUAGUCCAAGUGAUAUUGAAGUUACAUUUGAGAAUUUCCCCUACUAUCUUAGGUGAUGCUUUGACUUAAUGUUCCUUUGAUUUGCUUUGGCCUCUAAUCCUGUUUUUUAGCUUCUUCCUAUGAUGUAUAACUGGAAUUUUGCAUACAUUUUAUUCUCUGUACUCUACAUAAUAAAAAGGUUGUCUCUGGUUACUUAGUUUUUGACAGAUUUUGUUCUUUGUAUUCUAUCUACAUAGUGAAAAACUAAGGUUGUCUCUGGUCAUUUAGUUUUUGAUGUUGUGCAGAACGAGUAAAAGUAAAUAUUUAGUUCGGUACGGCUUGUUCAUAGCGUAUGUUAGGUUUAUGCCCUUGGAAAUGAAGCAUGUUUUUAUUUAUUGUUCCGUCAAGUUUUUAUAUCUUCAUAUAUUUAUUGAUCUCUAUCUUAUGCAGCGAGAAUACGAAGAAUGUGCUCUUAUCAUGUUCAUUCCUUCAUUUGGAAAAGAAGGAAUUCAUUAAGCAGUUCUCCGAAAUUUCAUCAAUAAACCAGCGAAUUUUAUUAUCUGGUCCAUCAGGUAAACUUUUCUUUUGUCAUUGCAUAUUGUCUCCGUUGAGUCAAAUUUAUGUCCUUGAGGCAUGUCAGCUUGCACACUUUUUGGGAAUACCAUUACUUAUAAGUAUCCAUCUAAUUAUGCAUCAGGUUCUGAGAUUUAUCAGGAAACAUUGAUAAAGGCACUUGCCAAACAUUUUGGUGCUAGACUACUUGUUGUGGAUUCACUCCUGUUGCCUGGGGUACGUUCUCCUACUCUGGACAUAUUCAGAAGUCCGCGAAUACCUUGAAGAGUGAUAUUUCCGUGUGUCUGUCAUUUGAAACAAAACUGUAUGUAGGUGCCUUCAAAGGACCCAGAAACCCAGAAAGAUGUUGGCAAGGCUGAUAAGUCAGGGGACAAGGCAGGUGGUGAGAAAUUGACAAUUCUUCAUAAGCACCGCUCUUCCUUGGCAGACACAAUGCACUUCAGAAGACCAGCUGCACCAACUUCCAGUGUGAAUGCUGAUAUUGUGGGUACAUCCACUCUACAUUCUGCAACUUUGCCCAAACAGGAGUCCUCAACAGCUACAUCCAAGGGCUAUACUUUUAGAGAAGGUUCGCUAGCAUCUCAGUAUCAUUUGAUAAAUAUUUCCCAGUUCAACUAGAUUUUACUUGGACAUAAUUGCACUCUCAUCUUCUGUAGGGGAGAGGGUGAGGUAUGUGGGUCCAGCUCAGACACCUUCAGGCAUACAUCGGUAACUCUUCUCCUACUUAUUCCCAACCAACUGCCCAGAUUCCCACUAAUUUUUUUCCAACUUUUUGGGUGCAAUCUGAACUGCUAUUAUGAUAGUGAUUGAUUGGGUGGUAUGAGAGGUGAUCUAAUCUCUCCUAUAUGUAGUGGAUAAGUUCUGUAGAAUUGUGGGUGGAGAGAAUGCAUUCCCGUGAAUUACAAGAAAGUAUGCUUUGACAAGAGGCACAUGUACCUGAUGAAACGUGUGGCUAUAGGCCUGUCAUAUAUAUGUAUAUCAAUAGGACAGCGGAUCCGCCAGUAAAUAGAAGUAUUCCGAUCGUACCUCCAAGUACUUAGCCUACAUGGAACAAUAGAAAUAGGAAAUUGGCAACAUAAAAUUAAUCUGGAGUUUCAACCACAAUCCAAUUGUGAUUGUUCUUCAUUAUGUUGCAGUUACACUAGAUUUAGCUGGAUAACAACUUAUCCUUUUGUCUUGAUGGCCAUCUAAUUAUUGUUGGUGAUCAUAUUGUUCUUUCUGUAUAAUUGCUGAUAAAUUUCUUGGUUGGUCUUCAGGGGCCCAAGUUACGGUUAUCGAGGCAGAGUGAUGCUUGCUUUCGAAGAAAAUGGAUCGUCUAAAAUUGGAGUCCGAUUCGACAAGCAGAUCCCUGAUGGUAAUGAUCUUGGUGGUUUGUGUGAGGAAGAUCAUGGCUUCUUCUGUUCUGGUUAGUUGGAACUUCUCAAUCCCACAUGUUCCCUAGUUCUUACAGUUUGUUAUUUGCUGCUGAUCAUCUGUUGUUUCUGCAGCUGAAUUGCUCCGCCCAGACUUUUCUGGUAGUGAAGAAGUUGAAAGGCUAGCUAUGACCGAGUUAAUUGAGGUAGCGUGUCUUACUUGGAGUUUGGAAUACUAGAAAUGUAAAUCAGCAUCAUGCUAUAAUAUUGAUGGUAUGAUCCUUGCCUGUCAGGUCAUCUCAGAAGAAAGCAAAAUUGGUUCUCUGAUAGUGUUACUAAAGGAUGUAGAGAAAUCAUUCACUGGAAUCACAGAAUCAUUUUCAUCUUUAAGGAACAAACUCGAAUUGCUUCCACCUGGUGUUCUGAUUAUAGGAUCCCACACCCAGAUGGACAGCCGUAAAGAGAAGGUACAUAUAUUAUUUCCGAGAAAUUAGACAAAUUAUGUUGUGUUGAGCAUGGAUUGGUGUUGAGUUCCCAUUGUAGUGUGGCAUGUUGAAGUUCUAUAUUGCUAAUUUUGGCGACAUUAGGUAGUGUUAUUUCUAAAUGUGUUGGCAUUGAAGAACUUCUCUUUUUUCCAUUUUGAUUCUUAUUAGCAACCUCUCUUAUAGGCACAUCCUGGUGGAUUUCUUUUUACGAAGUUCGCUAGUAGCAGCCAGACGCUCUUCGACCUUUUCCCGGUAGUUUGCACUCUACUUGUUCUUUAAAUUAUUUUUCUCUUGAGUGUUUUUAAAUGCAUAUGGUUUCAUAUGCUACUCUUAUGAACCAUGGCACUGAUGUUGCCUAUCUUUUUCACUUUGUUGUGAUGCAUUAUUGCAUUCACAAACUCAGGAUAGCUUUGGUAGUCGGUUGCACGAAAGGAACAAAGAAAGCCCGAAGGCAAUGAAACAUCUAAAUAAACUUUUCCCGAACAAAAUUUCCAUCCAGCUUCCACAGGUAACUAUAUUCUUUGUUGCACUCAUUUAGGUGUGGUUCUUAUGUAUACUGUCUAACCUUAAAAAUUACAAUUUCAGGAUGAAGCAUUACUUACCAGUUGGAAGCAACAAUUGGAUCGUGAUGUUGAAACCCUUAAAGCAAAAUCUAACAUCGGUAGCAUUCGUACGGUAAGCUACACGUGAAAUACAAGUUUAUACAUAUCACCUGGUCAUUUGAAACCUGAAUCCUCUUUUGUGUUUUAUGGCUGGUGUUUGUUCCAACCUGCCUGGUUGACGUAACUUUCUAUUGUAUGUUCUCUGAAUUUGUUUUUUAACAGCCCUUCUGCAAUAUUUUCUCAAUUGAUUUUUUUGAUAUGUUGUUUGUUACAUCUGCACUCAUGCAUAAUUUCACCAUUACUUGGUUUUACAAAUAUUUUCAUGCCAUAUUCCUCUUGCCAUAUAUAUCUGCGAAUGUUUCCUACCACCUAUGGGUAGUUACACUGAGUUUUGUAGGUUCUUUGUAGUAUCUGUCAAAACCACCGAGAGUAUGUACGUGCAGUAUGUUGUAUAUAAGAAUAUUUGGGUAGUAUAUAUACCACUUUCUAGGCAGUAUAUUCCUUUUUUAGUAUGUUGUUUUACAUGUACAAAUAUGAAGGUAUUUUCGAAAUAUAUAAAAAACUGUGGACUCACGUGCAAUUUUUUCAUAUAACUUGCGUUGAAAUAUCUUAGAUAUAGUAUAUGAACCAUACUUAGAAUGAUAAAGUAGUAUAUAUACUACCACAUGGUGGUAUAUGAGACAUGAGNNNNNNNNNNNNNNNNNNNNNNNNNNNNNNNNNNNNNNNNNNNNNNNNNNNNNNNNNNNNNNNNNNNNNNNNNNNNNNNNNNNNNNNNNNNNNNNNNNNNNNNNNNNNNNNNNNNNNNNNNNNNNNNNNNNNNNNNNNNNNNNNNNNNNNNNNNNNNNNNNNNNNNNNNNNNNNNNNNNNNNNNNNNNNNNNNNNNNNNNNNNNNNNNNNNNNNNNNNNNNNNNNNNNNNNNNNNNNNNNNNNNNNNNNNNNNNNNNNNNNNNNNNNNNNNNNNNNNNNNNNNNNNNNNNNNNNNNNNNNNNNNNNNNNNNNNNNNNNNNNNNNNNNNNNNNNNNNNNNNNNNNNNNNNNNNUUGCUUCCCAAUUUCAAUGGAUAUUUCGAGAUCACCCGACACCAUCAUCUGAUUGCUGAUUGCUCUGAAUGCAGUUUUUGAAUCGCAGUGCAAUCGAAUGCAAUGACCUUGAAGAAUUAUUCAUUAAAGAUCAGUCACUGACUAAUGAAAGUGAGUUCUUUUUGUUCGCUGUAUUUUAUCUAUAGAUAGAAUUGAAUUAAAGUUUUUGUUGCUCCAAACUUUCUUAGAUGUGGACAAGAUUGUCGGGUACGCUGUCAGUUAUCAUCUUAAGCACAAUAAAGUCGAAACCUCCAAGGACGGUAAACUUAUUAUCACGAGCGGAAGGUAAUCAUGUUGUUGCCAAUUUCAUUUUUACUGUAUUUAUUUUUAUGUAGUCUUCUCUCUUGAGAGCUAACUUGCUAAUUACGGAUGACAGCCUUAAGCAUGGCCUCGACAUGCUACAGAGCAUCCAUAGUGAUAACAAGAGCUCAAAAAAAUCGUUAAAGGUACUUGUUGUCUCGCACAUUUCAAACUUUAUUGUCAUUCCCCAAAUAUUAGUGCUUUUCAGUUUUUUCUACUUCUAAGCUAGUUUCUUCUUAGGAUGUUGCCACAGAGAACGAGUUUGAGAAAAGGCUUCUGGCAGAUGUUAUACCACCGAAUGAUAUUGGAGUCACCUUUGAUGAUAUUGGUGCGUUGGAGAAUGUAAAGGAAACAUUGAAGGAGUUGGUGAUGCUCCCACUGCAAAGGCCGGAAUUGUUCUGCAAAGGGCAGUUAACGAAGGUAGUAAAAAAAACUAGUAUUCACAUGGUCUCAUACAUGGGGCUUAAGUUCUUUUUCCAAUUGUAGGUUGCAUGCCAUGAUAGAAAUUUAACAGCCCUUUGUUAAAAACAACAAGACAACAUAUUUACUCUUGCUAUUCCAUAUUAUCAGUACUAAAAAGAUUCCAAACCAAUAAUAAUAAUAAUAAUUGCUCCCCAAAAUAUAAGGCAAGCUUGACUUUCUUGGUCUUCAACACACAACUUUGACUAUGAUUUUCACUGAUAGUAUAUCUACAAAAUUAACAUAAAGGCAUAAAAUCAAAUUAUUUUGCAAGGCAAAUGAUGAUACCACUUAUACAUGGCAAAUCUGUGUGGUUUCUCUAGGUAGCUUUGCAGUGUCCCUGUAAGGUUUUCGUUUCAGAAUUUUCUAAAGUGUCAGAUAUUUCAAAGAAAUCUGGGCUCUUACAAGGCUAAGCUGGUCUAACUUGAUAGAUAUAGAUAAAUAAAAAUAUUUCUUGACUUCUGACAAGAAACUCUUGGCAAUAAAAUUGGGGCGUGGAGUUUCCAGCCUCUCCUUUAUUUAUAUCUGGUGUUGAAAAAAUAGUUCUACUAGUUAAUUUGCAACCUGUUUGAAACCAAAUUUGAAGAUUAUGUUGACUACCUAAAUUCGUUGUACGGGUUAAGUUGUGAUCUUAGAAGUGCCUCCUCUCAAUCUAUUCCUUGCAGCCUUGCAAGGGAAUAUUGCUCUUCGGGCCUCCUGGCACUGGGAAAACUAUGCUUGCUAAAGCAGUAGCAACUGAAGCAGGCGCCAACUUCAUCAAUAUAUCAAUGUCAAGCAUUACAUCGAAGGUAUGGUUCCAUCUAAAGAACAAUGAAUGAGGUACAUCGUGUGAUUCUUGAUGCUAAAUGCUAUUUUGUCUACUACUUUCAGUGGUUUGGUGAAGGGGAGAAAUAUGUGAAGGCUGUUUUUUCAUUAGCAAGUAAAAUAUCCCCGAGUGUUAUUUUUAUUGAUGAGGUAUGGAGAAUAUUAAUUGCUUUUGUUGCCAUAUUGAUUUAUCUGACUAUUUAUAUAGCCUAUUAAGUGUAUAACUUUGGACAGGUCGAUAGUAUGUUAGGAAGGAGAGAAAAUCCUGGGGAGCAUGAAGCCAUGCGCAAGAUGAAAAAUGAAUUUAUGGUAAAUUGGGACGGGUUGCGAACGAAAGAUAAAGAACGUGUACUGGUUCUUGGUGCCACAAAUAGACCUUUUGACCUGGACGAGGCUGUGAUUAGGAGGUUCCCCCGCAGGUAGUACUACAGUCUCAUGUGCUGGUCUGGGAUUAUCUAAUUGCUGCCUAUUCGUUUCUAACGAUUUGGUUCAUAAUAAUAAUAAUUGUUAUUGUAGGCUAAUGGUAAAUUUACCUGACGCAUCAAAUAGAGAGAAAAUUUUGAAAGUUAUUUUAGCAAAAGAAGAGUUGGGACAAGAUACUGAUCUGGAGUCACUUGCUAAUAUGACUGAUGGAUAUUCAGGAAGUGACCUGAAGGUACAUUUGCUGUUUAUUUGCGCUCUUUUAUCCUUGAGCAUCGGAAGUGACAUCGCUGAUCUGGGUGUGUUUUCAGAAUCUAUGUGUAACUGCAGCGCACUACCCCAUUCGAGAAAUCCUAGAGAAGGAAAAGAAGGUAGGCAUGUUAUCAGUCUGCCUGUGGCAUGCAUUAAAAUGGAUACUUUUAUAGAAAGGCUCUUUGGUUUACAUCAUUGUAUAGAUGGUUUUUUCGUUCCUAUGCUUUGGUUAGAUUAUUUGAUUUAUAUACACUAAACGUUGUUUCCUUGAUAAUAUGUAGGAGAAGAAUGUUGCAAAGUCAGAAGGUAGGCCUGAGCCUGCCUUGCAUGGAAGCGAGGACGUCCGUCCUCUUAGUUUGGAUGACUUCAAAUCUGCCCAUGAGCAGGUAUUUAUCAUCCAUCCCUACCCGAUCCCUGCUUGUUUCAUCAUUGCUUUAUGAUGAUGAUAGGAUAAUCUGUGCGUUUACCACACGUAGGUUUGCGCGAGCGUGUCAUCUGAUUCGGCAAACAUGAAUGAGCUUGUCCAAUGGAACGACCUCUACGGCGAAGGAGGUUCAAGGAAGAAGAAAGCACUGAGCUACUUCAUGUGAGAGCUCUCACAAGAAUGUGCCAUAUUGUACAGUCGCUAUACUACCCCUCCCUCCUCGGCAGGUGCAUCUUGGCGACUUGUCCGGCCAAAACCAGUCGGGUUUUUCCUCCUCUCCCCUUCAGGAGCAGCGGCCGCCUACCAUCCUGAUCCUCCUCCCUCCCGUGUAAUUAAAAUUGUGCACCGAGUCUGGGUUAUUUAUCAGCUUCUGUUUGUUCCUAUUAACUUCAAAAAAGAGAAUCCUCCAUCCUCCUCUCUUGAUCACCUGCCUGUUUGCAGCCAAUUGUCGUUGAGCUUGGCUGUAGGCCCCUUGUGUGCACCUAUGUACAUGUUUAAUGAAAGGGCAUGGAAUAAGAACCUUUUCCUCUUGUAGACAGUCUGAUGAUUCUUGCUGACGAUAACCGGCCAUAGAUUUGACUUUUUUUGGUAUUAUCAUUUUUGUUAGGGA